This 465-nucleotide ribosomal RNA is filed under the name Triticum aestivum (bread wheat). RNAcentral's name for it is "partial small subunit ribosomal RNA". Lineage: Eukaryota; Viridiplantae; Streptophyta; Magnoliopsida; Poales; Poaceae. The record is from RNAcentral.
AUGCAGAAGGAGAACGAGCAAACAAUGAACAACAUGGUAUUAAAGACAAAAAAACACCCAUCAUAUUGUGACUUCCUUCAACAUGUGCAUACUGUAUUUGAAAAAAUGACUCUGCUUCGACUAAUAUCUUAUUUCUUGACAUGUGUGCAGACCAAUCCUGUGACAAAAACAACCUACGACUACGAGGAAGACAUGGCUAUCAAGUACACGAGAGCCGUGUACACUGAGAUGAGGACUAGGAUGAGAAAAGCGAUGCUAUUUCGCGCAAAGCCUAUAGCAGAGCCCACUAAGUACCUUAUGUACUACCACAACAAGACUGGCCAUGAUGAUGAAGAAAGAUUUGCCUGGUCAAAGCAUGAAUUCCAGGUUGUAGCUAACCCUGAUAAUGAAAUAUACGAGUGUGAAUGCAAGCUAUGGACACACACAGAUGAGCGGAAAAACAAACUCAUUAAAUACCUAAACUAG